ACAAGUAGACCAGAUUUUCAGAACUAAAGAGGAGAGAAAAAAUAGACUUUCAAUCUUGAGAGUUGGGAUCGAAAGAAUAGGACUAAUUUAAAAAAAUCAUAGAAAGUUAGUAGUUGGAGAGCUUAUAUCUUGAGUGUGAGGUUGGCUCUUGUUUAGUGAAGUUAGUGAUAGAGUGAGUGGAGGGCUAAGCUUAGUACAAAAGAGCUUCAGUCUAUUUUUCUUCUUGAGUGUUAAAAAUCAGGAAGUUAUUGUAAUUCUCUGCUUUGGUUGUUGUUUGUUUUCCUGGUACUGCAAGUACUCAUUUGGUGUUGAUGUUGGAUUUCUUGAAGUUGUUACUGGGUUUUCUUGAGUUUUUCUGUUUGGUUAAUCUAUUCCUGGGGUCUUCCUGCACUGUUUGUUACUGGUUUACUGUUGUGGUUGCUGAACCUGUUGUUGAUGUGUUGUGCUACUGCUGCACUACUGACUUCUUCCUCUUCUUUUCUUUCCAAAUACCAGGUACACAAUUGAUACAC
Molecule: long non-coding RNA, 512 nt
Filed under: Nicotiana benthamiana
Lineage: Eukaryota; Viridiplantae; Streptophyta; Magnoliopsida; Solanales; Solanaceae
Description: long non-coding RNA (NBEN_LNC041205)
Source: RNAcentral